UGGGGAAUAUUGCACAAUGGGCGCAAGCCUGAUGCAGCCAUGCCGCGUGUAUGAAGAAGGCCUUCGGGUUGUAAAGUACUUUCAGCGAGGAGGAAGGCGUUGUGGUUAAUAACCGCAGCGAUUGACGUUACUCGCAGAAGAAGCACCGGCUAACUCCGUGCCAGCAGCCGCGGUAAUACGGAGGGUGCAAGCGUCAAUCGGAAUUACUGGGUGUAAAGCGCACGCAGGCGGUCUGUCAAGUCGGAUGUGAAAUCCCCGGGCUCAACCUGGGAACUGCAUCCGAAACUGGCAGGCUAGAGUCUUGUAGAGGGGGGUAGAAUUCCAGGUGUAGCGGUGAAAUGCGUAGAGAUCUGGAGGAAUACCGGUGGCGAAGGCGGCCCCCUGGACAAAGACUGACGCUCAGGUGCGAAAGCGUGGGGAGCAAACA
This 427-nucleotide ribosomal RNA is filed under the name uncultured bacterium. RNAcentral's name for it is "partial 16S ribosomal RNA". It matches the Rfam family "Bacterial small subunit ribosomal RNA", at positions 355 to 774 of the family's 1533-position model. The record is from RNAcentral.